CCUCCAUGGAGAUGCCGAACUUCUCUGGCAGGUGCUCGACAUAAAUCUGGUGCCUAUCAAGGAAAUUUUGCUGUUUCUACGACUGAGAUCUGCACCCGAGUUUCCUUGAUGAGCACCGGAUUCAUGUCGAGAACGUGCAGAGCGCGAAGUUCGAUAAUAACGCAGGUCCCUGAUGUCACACUUGGAGCAGAAGCCAAGGGAGGUGGC
Marchantia polymorpha subsp. ruderalis is the source of this 207-nucleotide non-coding RNA. The record is from the annotation of a GenBank genome assembly. Lineage: Eukaryota; Viridiplantae; Streptophyta; Marchantiopsida; Marchantiales; Marchantiaceae.